Molecule: non-coding RNA, 239 nt
Organism: Biomphalaria pfeifferi
Lineage: Eukaryota; Metazoa; Mollusca; Gastropoda; Planorbidae
Source: the annotation of a GenBank genome assembly
CGGGUAAAAAAUCCUCGAAAAAAAACUUCUUUUUGCGAAAACUGAUAAUUAAUAUUUAAUGUUUUGAAAGGACUACUUUAAAGAAAAAGCACUCCUUUUAACUAUAAUGUCAGUAUCAAUUUGUGAAGCACCUUUCAUGGUUGGGUUCUAUUGUGAAUAGUGAAAAAAAUGGUAGAAUUUUUAAAUAUCUUUAAUUUGUUAUUAACGCAGUUAACUGAAGCAACAUGUUCAAUACGCCA